GCCUGGCUGGCUCAGUUGGUGGAGCGUAUGACUCUUGAUCUUGGGGUUAUGAGUUUGAGCUUCAUGCUAGGGG
This 73-nucleotide transfer RNA is filed under the name Canis lupus familiaris (dog). It matches the Rfam family "tRNA". From Rfam's summary of the family: Transfer RNA (tRNA) molecules are approximately 80 nucleotides in length. Their secondary structure includes four short double-helical elements and three loops (D, anti-codon, and T loops). Further hydrogen bonds mediate the characteristic L-shaped molecular structure. tRNAs have two regions of fundamental functional importance: the anti-codon, which is responsible for specific mRNA codon recognition, and the 3' end, to which the tRNAs corresponding amino acid is attached (by aminoacyl-tRNA synthetases). tRNAs cope with the degeneracy of the genetic code in two manners: having more than one tRNA (with a specific anti-codon) for a particular amino acid; and 'wobble' base-pairing, i.e. permitting non-standard base-pairing at the 3rd anti-codon position. Lineage: Eukaryota; Metazoa; Chordata; Mammalia; Carnivora; Canidae. The record is from Rfam by way of RNAcentral. RNAcentral also lists the same sequence under 1 other name.